GAUGAACGCUGGCGGCGUGCUUAACACAUGCCAGUCGAACGAUGAAGCUCAGCUUGCUGGGUGGUUUAGUGGCGAACGGGUGAGUAACACGUGAGUAACCUGCCCUUAACUCUGGGAUAAGCCUGGGAAACUAGGUCUAAUACCGGAUAGGAGCGCCUACCGCAUGGUGGGUGUUGGAAAAAUUUAUCGGUUUUGGAUGGACUCGCGGCCUAUCAGCUUGUUGGUGAGGUAAUGGCUCCCCAAGGCGACGACGGGUAGCCGGCCUGGGAGGGUGACCGGCCACACUGGUACUGCGACACGGACCAGACUCCUACGGGAGGCAGCAGUGGGGAAUAUUGCACAAUGGGCGAAAGCCUGAUGCAGCGACGCCGCGUGAGGGAUGACGGCCUUCGGGUUGUAAACCUCUUUCAGUAGGGAAGAAGCGAAAGUGACGGUACCUGCAGAAGAAGCACCGGCUAACUACGUG
This 466-nucleotide ribosomal RNA is filed under the name uncultured bacterium. RNAcentral describes it as "partial 16S ribosomal RNA". It matches the Rfam family "Bacterial small subunit ribosomal RNA", at positions 28 to 507 of the family's 1533-position model. The record is from RNAcentral.